This 497-nucleotide ribosomal RNA is filed under the name uncultured bacterium. RNAcentral's name for it is "partial 16S ribosomal RNA". It matches the Rfam family "Bacterial small subunit ribosomal RNA", at positions 28 to 507 of the family's 1533-position model. The record is from RNAcentral.
GAUGAACGCUGGCGGCGUGCCUAAUACAUGCAAGUCGAGCGAACAGACGAGGAGCUUGCUCCUCUGACGUUAGCGGCGGACGGGUGAGUAACACGUGGAUAACCUACCUAUAAGACUGGGAUAACUUCGGGAAACCGGAGCUAAUACCGGAUAAUAUAUUGAACCGCAUGGUUCAAUAGUGAAAGACGGUUUUGCUGUCACUUAUAGAUGGAUCCGCGCCGCAUUAGCUAGUUGGUAAGGUAACGGCUUACCAAGGCGACGAUGCGUAGCCGACCUGAGAGGGGGAGUCGCCCCACUGGAACUGAGAAACCGGCCCAACCCCUAAGGGGGGGACGCGGGGGGAACUCUUCCCCAAGGGGGGAAACCCGGACGAGGCAACCCGGGGGGGGGAAUGAGGGCUUCGGGUUGGAAAAACUCUUUUUUUGGAAAAAAAAAAAUGUGGAAGAAACCAUGCCCGUCUUGCCGGUCCCAAAGAAGAAGCCCCCGGUAACCUCGGU